GAUGAACGCUAGCGGCAGGCUUAACACAUGCAAGUCGAGGGGCAGCAUGAGGGUUAGCAAUAACCCUUGAUGGCGACCGGCGCAAGGGUGCGUAACGCGUGAGCAACUUGCCCGUUUCAGGGGGAUAACCGGUGGAAACGCCGACUAAUACCCCAUAGCAUCACAAGGAGGCAUCUCCAUGUGAUUAAAGAAUUUCGGAAACGGAUAGGCUCGCGUGACAUUAGCUAGAUGGCGGGGUAACGGCCCACCAUGGCGACGAUGUCUAGGGGUUCUGAGAGGAAGGUCCCCCACACUGGAACUGAGACACGGUCCAGACUCCUACGGGAGGCAGCAGUGAGGAAUAUUGGUCAAUGGUCAGACGACUGAACCAGCCAUGCCGCGUGAAGGUCACGGCCCUAUGGGUCUUAAACUUCUUUGCAAGGGACAAUAAGAGCUACGUGUAGCUUGAUGAGAGUACCUUGCGAAUAAGCAUCGGCUAACUCCGUGCCAG
This 490-nucleotide ribosomal RNA is filed under the name uncultured bacterium. RNAcentral describes it as "bacterial SSU rRNA". It matches the Rfam family "Bacterial small subunit ribosomal RNA", at positions 28 to 511 of the family's 1533-position model. The record is from RNAcentral.